UACGGAGGGAGCUAGCGUUGUUCGGAAUCACUGGGCGUAAAGGGUGCGUAGGCGGGUCUUUAAGUCAGGGGUGAAAUCCUGGAGCUCAACUCCAGAACUGCCUUUGAUACUGAAGAUCUUGAGUUCGGGAGAGGUGAGUGGAACUGCGAGUGUAGAGGUGAAAUUCGUAGAUAUUCGCAAGAACACCAGUGGCGAAGGCGGCUCACUGGCCCGAUACUGACGCUGAGGCACGAAAGCGUGGGGAGCAAACAGG
RNAcentral lists this ribosomal RNA (253 nucleotides) under uncultured bacterium. RNAcentral describes it as "partial 16S ribosomal RNA". It matches the Rfam family "Bacterial small subunit ribosomal RNA", at positions 524 to 776 of the family's 1533-position model. The record is from RNAcentral.